CAAGUAUCUAAGUAGAAAGAGAAUUUAUUUUUGAGAGAGAGAGUAUGUUGCAAAUUUUAGAACUUUACCUGUAAGUAUUAAAAAGAAGCAUCAAAUAUUAACAUUGACAGUAUUCUAGAUAAGUUAUUCAUCUUAUUGAGUUCAUAUGAAAUGUGUUGCAUUUCCAAAUUCAUAACUCAUCAAUCUUUUCACCCUGUUAUGUGUUUUUAAUUCACCUUGGGUCUCAUGUUCACCUGACUAAAUGGCAAUAACGAAUUCCUGGAACCUUUGUCUCUCCCAAACACACCCUCACGCUUGUAGACACAAACCAGGCAUAUACAUUACACAUGAUAAUGUGUAAAAAUUUGAUUGCAUUUGCAAGGCAAAUAACGAACCUUGAUGCAUGCCAAUGCCAAUGCCAGCCUACCUGCCUCCCUGCCUCUCUGCCUGCUUGCUUGCUUGCUUGCUUGCUUGCUUGUGGAGGAGGGUAUAUUACUGGGCUCUCGACCCAAAUAGCCAACGAGGCUCUCUCAGCAAGUAUUAAUGCAGGUUUAAAUACCCAUGUACAUUUACUCUACACUUUCACGCUACCCCGUAAACUGCACACUCCCACCCCUUCACUCUCUCUCUCUCUCUCUCUCUCUGUGACUCACUCUGUCUCUCUGUCAUACACUCACACACACAAGACCCUCUCUCUGUCUUCCUCUCUGAGGCUCUCUCUGUCAGCACUCACUUGCCAGCGGGAUGUUCUGCCGCUCCGACAGUCCGUCGUGUUUUGGGUAUAUUUUAGCGUAGCAAAUGGGUCUGCCUGCCUGCCAAUGGAUCCUUGUAGUGCAGAAUGAUUUCUGACGGACGAUAAGGGCAGAUGUUAUUGCAUUUUCUACUCUUGGCAUUGGUGCUUUACGGAGAUAUAGAGCGGAAUUGGCCGUUUACCAAGCUGGAUACUACUUAUUUAUGGUCCGGAGUUAACUGCAGUGUGUACAUACAUGCAGUUCCAGACAUCUGAUUGACCCAAAUUCUUGUGUCAUGCCUGCGCCGUUGUGAUCCGAAGGUUCUAUUAAGGAUUAGCAUUACCCCCACCCGGGCGUUGCAGCAGAGUGGUAGAAAGAGGACUGUGUCACAGGAAAAUUACUUCUGAAAUUACAUUGGAAUCAAAGGUGAAACCCUCAUCAGCGCAUCCAGCAGGAGCAGUGAUGAUAUCGUAA
This is a long non-coding RNA of Strongylocentrotus purpuratus (purple sea urchin), 1184 nucleotides long. RefSeq lists it as uncharacterized. Lineage: Eukaryota; Metazoa; Echinodermata; Echinoidea; Camarodonta; Strongylocentrotidae. The record is from RefSeq and is a predicted model, not a curated record. The transcript is spliced from 2 exons.